AUGGUCAACACCCCAGUCCUCGCAUUGCCGGAUUUCACACGCCCCUUCUCCAUCGAGACAGAUGCAUGCGAUACUGGUGUCGAAGCAGUGCUGGUACAGGAUGGCCACCCCGUGGCUUAUCUUAGCAAGGCCUUGGGGGUACGGAACCAGCGUCUCUCCAUCUACGAGAAGGAGUUCCUCGCCGUGAUCAUGGCCGUCAACAAGUGGCGCUCCUACCUCCAGCGUGCUCCAUUUGUCAUCGUCACCGACCACAAGAGCUUCUGUACUCUGGGCGAGCAGCAGCUGGAUACGGAGCUCCAGCGCAAGGCUAUGUCCAAGCUAGUUUGCCUCCAGUUCUCCUUCAAGUACAGGCGCGGCGUCGAGAACGGCGCUGCCGAUGCCCUCUCGCGU
RNAcentral lists this ribosomal RNA (390 nucleotides) under Triticum aestivum (bread wheat). Its description in RNAcentral is "partial small subunit ribosomal RNA". Lineage: Eukaryota; Viridiplantae; Streptophyta; Magnoliopsida; Poales; Poaceae. The record is from RNAcentral.